GAUGAACGCUGGCGGCGUGCCUAAUACAUGCAAGUCGAGCGAACGGACGAGAAGCUUGCUUCUCUGAUGUUAGCGGCGGACGUGUGAGUAACACGUGGUUAACCCACCUAUAAGAUAGGGAUAACUUCGGGAAACCGGAGCUAAUACCGGAUAAUAUUUUGAACCGCAUGGUUCAAAAGCGCAAGACGGUCUUGCUGUCAUUUAUAGAUGUAUCCGCGCUGCAUUAGCUAGUUGGUAAGGUAACGGCUUACCAAGGCGACAAUGCAUAGCCGACCUGAGAGUGAGAUCGGCCACAGUGAAACUGAGACACGGUACAGACUCCGACUGAAGGCAGCAGUAGGGAAUCUUCCGCAAUGGGCGAAAGCCUGACGGAGCGGCGCCGCGUGAAUGAUGAAAGUCUUCGGAUCGUAAGACUCUGUUAUUGGUGAAGAACAUAUGUGGAAGUAACUGUGCACAUCGUGACGGUACCUGAUCAGAAAGCCACGGCUAACUACGUG
Molecule: ribosomal RNA, 497 nt
Filed under: uncultured bacterium
Lineage: Bacteria
Description: partial 16S ribosomal RNA
Rfam family: Bacterial small subunit ribosomal RNA
Source: RNAcentral